Molecule: ribosomal RNA, 119 nt
Filed under: Pteropus alecto (black flying fox)
Lineage: Eukaryota; Metazoa; Chordata; Mammalia; Chiroptera; Pteropodidae
Source: RNAcentral
GUCUACAGCCAUGCCACCCUGAACAAGCCUGAUUCCAUCUGAUCUCAGAAGCUAAGCAGGUUCAGGCCUGGUUAGUACUUGGAUGGGAGACCACUUAGGAAGACCAGGUUCUGAAAGUG